GAUGAAGAACGUAGCGAAAUGCGAUAAGUAAUGUGAAUUGCAGAAUUCAGUGAAUCAUCGAAUCUUUGAACGCACAUUGCGCCCGCCAGCAUUCUGGCGGGCAUGCCUGUUCGAGCGUCAUUUCAACCCUCGCGCCCCCCGGGGCUGCGGUGUUGGGGACCGGCCGCCCUCCGGGGCGCCGCCGCCCCCCAAAUACAGUGGCGGCCUCGCCGCUGCCUCCCCUGCGUAGUAGCACAACUCGCACCGGAGCGCGGCGCGGCCACGCCGUAAAACCCCCGACCCCCAUGAGUUUGACCUCGGAUCAGGUAGGAAUACCCGCUGAACUUAAGAAUAUCAAUAAGCGGAGGA
This 348-nucleotide unclassified non-coding RNA is filed under the name soil metagenome. RNAcentral describes it as "partial contains 5.8S ribosomal RNA, internal transcribed spacer 2, and large subunit ribosomal RNA". The stretch from base 1 to 120 matches the Rfam family "5.8S ribosomal RNA", at positions 35 to 154 of the family's 154-position model. The record is from RNAcentral.